Molecule: ribosomal RNA, 253 nt
Filed under: uncultured bacterium
Lineage: Bacteria
Description: partial 16S ribosomal RNA
Rfam family: Bacterial small subunit ribosomal RNA
Source: RNAcentral
UACGGGGGGGGCAAGCGUUGUUCGGAAUUACUGGGCGUAAAGGGCUCGUAGGUGGCCAACUAAGUCGGACGUGAAAUCCCUCAGCUUAACUGGGGAACUGCGUCCGAUACUGGAUGGCUUGAGUUUGGGAGAGGGAUGCGGAAUUCCAGGUGUAGCGGUGAAAUGCGCAGAUAUCAGGAGGAACACCGAUGGCGAAGGCAGCUCGCUGGGACGUUACUGACGCUGAGACGCGAAAGCGUGGGGAGCAAACAGG